CCUACGGGUGGCAGCAGUGAGGAAUAUUGGUCAAUGGACGAGAGUCUGAACCAGCCAAGUAGCGUGAAGGAUGACUGCCCUAUGGGUUGUAAACUUCUUUUAUAUGGGAAUAAAAUGUUCCACGUGUGGGAUUUUGUAUGUACCAUAUGAAUAAGGAUCGGCUAACUCCGUGCCAGCAGCCGCGGUAAUACGGAGGAUACGAGCGUUAUCCGGAUUUAUUGGGUUUAAAGGGAGCGUAGGUGGAUUGUUAAGUCAGUUGUGAAAGUUUGCGGCUCAACCGUAAAAUUGCAGUUGAAACUGGCAGUCUUGAGUACAGUAGGGGUGGGCGGAAUUCGUGGUGUAGCGGUGGAAUGCUUAGAUAUCACGAAGAACUCCGAUUGCGAAGGCAGCUCACUGGACUGCAACUGACACUGAGGCUCGAAAGUGUGGGUAUCAAACAGGAUUAGAUACCCGGGUUAGUC
RNAcentral lists this ribosomal RNA (461 nucleotides) under uncultured bacterium. RNAcentral describes it as "partial 16S ribosomal RNA". It matches the Rfam family "Bacterial small subunit ribosomal RNA", at positions 338 to 795 of the family's 1533-position model. The record is from RNAcentral.